Dermochelys coriacea (leatherback sea turtle) is the source of this 73-nucleotide small nucleolar RNA. RefSeq annotates it as small nucleolar RNA SNORD50. The record is from RefSeq and is a predicted model, not a curated record. The transcript has a single exon. Lineage: Eukaryota; Metazoa; Chordata; Testudines; Dermochelyidae.
GAUCAAUGAUGAUACUAUCCCGAACCUGAUUCCUUGAUGAAAAACUCAUAUAUACGGAUCUGGCUUCUGAGAU